Molecule: ribosomal RNA, 470 nt
Filed under: uncultured bacterium
Lineage: Bacteria
Description: bacterial SSU rRNA
Rfam family: Bacterial small subunit ribosomal RNA
Source: RNAcentral
GUACGCACUCCUACGGGAGGCAGCAUGGGGAAUAUUGCACAAUGGGCGCAAGCCUGAUGCAGCCAUGCCGCGUGUAUGAAGAAGGCCUUCGGGUUGUAAAGUACUUUCAGCAGUGAGGAAGGUGGGUAUGUUAAUAGCAUAUUCAUUUGACGUUAGCUGCAGAAGAAGCACCGGCUAACUCCGUGCCAGCAGCCGCGGUAAUACGGAGGGUGCGAGCGUUAAUCGGAAUUACUGGGCGUAAAGCGCAUGCAGGUGGUUUGUUAAGUCAGAUGUGAAAGCCCGGGGCUCAACCUCGGAAUUGCAUUUGAAACUGGCAAACUAGAGUACUGUAGAGGGGGUAGAAUUUCAGGUGUAGCGGUGAAAUGCGUAGAGAUCUGAAGGAAUACCGGUGGCGAAGGCGGCCCCCUGGACAGAUACUGACACUCAGAUGCGAAAGCGUGGGGAGCAAACAGGAUUAGAUACCCUGGUAG